Molecule: ribosomal RNA, 460 nt
Filed under: uncultured bacterium
Lineage: Bacteria
Description: partial 16S ribosomal RNA
Rfam family: Bacterial small subunit ribosomal RNA
Source: RNAcentral
CCUACGGGGUGCAGCAGUGAGGAAUAUUGGUCAAUGGACGAGAGUCUGAACCAGCCAAGUAGCGUGAGGGAUGACUGCCCUAUGGGUUGUAAACUUCUUUUAUAAAGGAAUAAAACGAGGCCCGUUUGCCUUUUUGCAUGUACUUUAUGAAUAAGAAUCGGCUAAAUCCGUGCCAGCAGCCGCGGUAAUACGGAGGAUCCGAGCGUUUUCCGGAUUUUUUGGGUUUAAAGGUAGGGUAGAUGGGUUGUUAAGUCGGGGGGGAAAGUUUGCGGGUCAACCGCAAAACUGCCAUUGAUACUGGCAGUCUUGAGUAUAGGUGAGGUAGGCGGAAUUCGUGGUGUAGCGGUGAAAUGCUUAGAUAUCACGCAGAACCCCGAUUGCGAAGGCAGCUUACUAAUCUGCGACUGACACUGAUGCUCGAAAGUGUGGGUAUCAAACAGGAUUAGAUACCCCGGUAGUC